This 401-nucleotide ribosomal RNA is filed under the name uncultured bacterium. Its description in RNAcentral is "bacterial SSU rRNA". It matches the Rfam family "Bacterial small subunit ribosomal RNA", at positions 356 to 773 of the family's 1533-position model. The record is from RNAcentral.
GGGGAAUAUUGUGCAAUGGGGGAAACCCUGACACAGCGACGCCGCGUGAGUGAAGAAGGCCUUCGGGUCGUAAAGCUCAAUAGUAUGGGAAGAAAGAAAUGACGGUACCAUACGAAAGCCCCGGCUAACUACGUGCCAGCAGCCGCGGUAAUACGUAGGGGGCGAGCGUUGUCCGGAAUUACUGGGCGUAAAGAGCACGUAGGCGGCUAUAAAAGUCAGAUGUGAAAAACCUGGGCUCAACCGAGGGUAUGCAUCUGAAACUAAAUAGCUUGAGUCAAGGAGAGGAGAGCGGAAUUCCUGGUGUAGCGGUGAAAUGCGUAGAGAUCAGGAAGAAUACCAGUGGCGAAAGCGGCUCUCUGGACUUGAACUGACGCUGAGGUGCGAAAGCGUGGGGAGCAAAC